GAUGAACGCUGGCGGCGUGCUUAACACAUGCAAGUCGAACGAACCUUCGGGUUAGUGGCGGACGGGUGAGUAACGCGUGAGAAUCUGCCCUCAGGAGGGGGAUAACGGCUGGAAACGGCCGCUAAUACCCCAUAUGCCGAGAGGUGAAACGAAUUUCGCCUGAGGAUGAGCUCGCGUCUGAUUAGCUAGUUGGUGGGGUAAGAGCCUACCAAGGCUUCGAUCAGUAGCUGGUCUGAGAGGAUGAUCAGCCACACUGGGACUGAGACACGGCCCAGACUCCUACGGGAGGCAGCAGUGGGGAAUUUUCCGCAAUGGGCGAAAGCCUGACGGAGCAACGCCGCGUGAGGGAUGAAGGCCUCUGGGCUGUAAACCUCUUUUAUCAAGGAAGAAGAUCUGACGGUACUUGAUGAAUAAGCCACGGCUAAUUCCGUG
This 432-nucleotide ribosomal RNA is filed under the name uncultured bacterium. Its description in RNAcentral is "bacterial SSU rRNA". It matches the Rfam family "Bacterial small subunit ribosomal RNA", at positions 28 to 507 of the family's 1533-position model. The record is from RNAcentral.